AAAGAUGGGGCGGCGCGGCCGGGGCUCGCCAGCACCAGCCCUGGAACCCCAUGGGGGACCUCGACAACAGCGCCUUUGCGGCGUGGGCCCCUUUCUGCAGCUCCUCCACCCGCGCGCUGUCGGCUCCGGGACACUGGGGCUUUGAAGGGCGCCAGUUCCCAGCCGCACCUGCACGCCUAGGAGGGCGCAGGCCGCGUGUCCCUGUGGGAGGAAGGCCCCGGCAACCUGCAAAGACCUCACGUCACAGAAACUUGCGGCGUUUGCCCCCGAUGCGCGCGUCAGGUGCUCCGUCCCUUCCAGGUGGCAGAGGAGAGGGAAGGGUCGCGCCUGGUGGGGGCCUGAGAGCCACCGGGCUGCGGUGCGCGAGUGUGGACACCGCCCCGCCUUCUGCGUCUACAGCCCUGGGUUCUGGGACCUUUGGAAACCGCUUUGGACGAAGCUGAGCAUCUCUUUCCCCACGCUGACCUCCCCCAUAGACUCCGGAUGGGAGUAAAUGAGGCUCCUGGGAAAUCCAGAAACUCUAGAGAAGCUUGUUUGCCAAACCUUGCUUUGGGCGGUGGAGACAGAAUAUCAUGUCCCAGAUCAGCGUGUGGUGACUGUGGAGGCAUUUACACACAGCACACUCCAGCUCUGCCACUGGGCCGGCUGAGGUGGCUGCGGUACACGGCGCCCAUCCUGAGCCCCAGGUUCCUCACAUGUCAACAGCAUGAAAAGUGCCUCUAAGACAUCCACAGGUGUGCAGUGUUAAAGCAGGCAGCGCCUCAGCUUGGUUAGCUCCCUUAAGGACUGCGGCUCCCUUAGGACAAGGCUCUGUCCCUCAGAGCACUGAGUGCGAUCUCAUGCUGGCAUCUUAGAGACAUUGUAUUCACCAGGAUUUUAGCGUUAAGGCCAGGCAUAAUGGUUCAUGCCUGUAAUUCCAGCACUUUGGGAGGCCGAGGUGGGCAGAUCACUUGAAGCCAGGAGUUCAAGACCAGCCUGGCCAACAUGGAGAAACCCUCUCUAUUUUUAAAUACAUUUAAAAUGUUAACAAUUAAAACAAAAUAUUUUACCGUUAGUAUGAUGCUUGAUACAGGAUUUCUGGUACAUACGCCUUAUCAAAUUAAAUAAGUUUCCUUUUACUCUUGUUUAUUGUUAUUUUUUAAAAUAAGGAAUGAAUCUUGGAUUUUAGUGUAUCAAUAAUUAUAUUUUAUUCUUUAACUUCAUAAUAUUCCUUAUAAUUCCUUAUGUCAUAUUAAAGAUGUAAAUUCAUAUAUAUUUUAUCAUACAAAUGAUUAAUAAAUGUAUAAGCAUGUCAUUAUAUGAGAGUAUACUUCCUUAUGUUUCAUGAAUGCAUCGUGACAGGCUCAUUUUUUUAAUCACUGCUCGAUUUGUGCCACUGAUGUUUUAUGAGGCCUAUUUAUGUCGGCGAUGGUAAGAGUGUUAGUGUUUCCUCUGUGGGUACCUUCAUCUACCGUGAGUCUCCUGGAUAUGCUAGCAUCACAGAAUGGCAGGCGGAAAUUUCCAGCUUUUUCUAUAGAAUGAGUUUAACACAGAAAAUAGAUCUUUCUUGAAAAUGUGGUAACACUUACCUGGAAACCUCCCUGGCCUAGUGCCUCUUUUCUUGGGGCUAAAGGGUAUGAAAAUGGGUAGAUCUCCAAAUGCCUUUUCCAUUUUUCUAUGAAUAUUAUUCCUACUCAGGCUUUUCUCUUCUUGGAACAAUGCUGCUAACUUGUGCCUACUUGGCUAUUUCUACUUCAUGUAUAUUUUCAAAUCCAUUGGUGUGCAAGUGGACUUAGUAUGUUCUUGCAAGCGUAAGAGUCUCCAUUAGUGUAAUGACCUUCUCUCUUUCUGUUUUCCUUGAGCAAUUAACAUAUAUUUGUCUUAUUUUAUUGGUCUUCUCAAAAGAAUAUGCUUUUGAGUUAUUGAUCACCUGUACCAUGUGUUCUAUCACACUAUUCUGUGUUUACUCAAGCUCGUUAAUUGAUAUUCAAAU
RNAcentral lists this long non-coding RNA (1972 nucleotides) under Homo sapiens (human). RNAcentral describes it as "long intergenic non-protein coding RNA 1018". The record is from RNAcentral. Lineage: Eukaryota; Metazoa; Chordata; Mammalia; Primates; Hominidae.